This 77-nucleotide transfer RNA is filed under the name Bacteroidota bacterium. RNAcentral's name for it is "Bacteroidetes bacterium tRNA-Arg". It matches the Rfam family "tRNA". From Rfam's summary of the family: Transfer RNA (tRNA) molecules are approximately 80 nucleotides in length. Their secondary structure includes four short double-helical elements and three loops (D, anti-codon, and T loops). The record is from RNAcentral. Lineage: Bacteria; Pseudomonadati; Bacteroidota.
GGACCUGUAGCAUAACUGGAUAAUGCACUGCACUACGGAUGCGGAGAUUGGGGGUUCGAACCCCUCCAGGUUCACAA